GAAAUGCGAUAAGUAAUGUGAAUUGCAGAAUUCAGUGAAUCAUCGAAUCUUUGAACGCACAUUGCGCCCCUUGGUAUUCCGAGGGGCAUGCCUGUUCGAGCGUCAUUACAACCCUCAAGCUCUGCUUGGUAUUGGGCUUCACCUGUAAGGGCGUGCCUUAAAAUCAGUGGCGGUGCCAUCUGGCUCUAAGCGUAGUAAUACUUCUCGCUAUAGUGUCUUGUGGUGACUUGCCAACAACCCCUAAUUUUCUAUGGUUGACCUCGGAUCAGGUAGGGAUACCCGCUGAACUUAA
RNAcentral lists this unclassified non-coding RNA (292 nucleotides) under uncultured Cryptosporiopsis. RNAcentral describes it as "sequence contains ITS1". The stretch from base 1 to 105 matches the Rfam family "5.8S ribosomal RNA", at positions 50 to 154 of the family's 154-position model. Lineage: Eukaryota; Fungi; Ascomycota; Leotiomycetes; Helotiales; Dermateaceae. The record is from RNAcentral.